RNAcentral lists this long non-coding RNA (1450 nucleotides) under Sus scrofa (pig). RNAcentral describes it as "lncRNA (ENSSSCG00050016794.1)". Lineage: Eukaryota; Metazoa; Chordata; Mammalia; Artiodactyla; Suidae. The record is from RNAcentral.
AGCCGCCGCCGCCGUUUUUCCCCGGUAUGGACGAACAGCGGGCGAGGUCUUUUAUGCCUUUCGCGGGAAGGUCAACAAACGGUGAGAAGCUAUCGAAAACGACCUGUUUUACCACAUUUCCAGGCCACUUGACCCACGGGGACCUGACUUUGCAACAUUCGUCGGGGGCGCUGCAAAAAGCUUAGCUUCUCGGAAACUCAGGCCUGCCUGUGUCUCUCAAGGAUGGACAGAGGUGGUUGUGGACUUAAAGACCCUUUGAUGUAAGGGAUAGAGAGAAGCUAAGUGAGCGCACCCAUCUCUGAGCAUUUCAACCGCGAGGGAAUCCGAGCAAAGUAACAAUAAGAUACAACUAAUAUCCUAGGAAUGCUGUUGGUUUACAGUGUUCUGUCAAUUUUCUCCUGUACUGUCGGGAGCCAUAAGGCUGCUCCAGUAAAGAAAGCAAAGCCACAGUCGGCACCUGCAUGAGGCUUGUCUGGUUAGCAGAGCUACAGACAAGCUGAAGAAAGAAGAAGGAUUGCGGAUGCGUGAGGCUUGUCUGGUUAGCAGAGCUACAGACAAGCUGAAGAAAGAAGAAGGAUUGCAGAGCAAUCCCUUGAAAGACAUCGGCUCCAGGAAAAUAAAAAUGAUAUCCCCUAAAAAAUAUGUUAAUCUAUUUUUCUGUGUUUAUCCUUCCUUUUCUAUCUCUAUUCACAGCUUUCUUACUGCUAAAGAUUUGCCCUGGGUACGUAAAACACUUGAACCAAAACAGAAUGAAGUUAUUUAAACAAUGUAAUGGAAAAAGCCUUUGUUUUGGAGUAACAAUUUAUGGCACCUAUUUUGUGAGAGUAUACAGGGGAAACUUAUGAUUUCAGUCCCUUUACUUAAAAAGAAGUUUGGGGCUGGGAAAAUGUUGUUUGGCCUAUAAAUUGCUAUUUUCUAUAAUAGAUAUAUUUUUUAACAGUGUCACUUGUAACUUUCAUCCCUUGUGGGGGCAUUUGUUAAUUUUUGGGUAUAAUACUCCUUUCUAUUGAAAUUGGUGGUUUGGAACUUACGUAAAUCAGCACAAUAGGUUAAAUGCUUAGCUUGCUGGCGCCAAAUAAAUCGUGGUUUUAAGAAUGCCAUGAGCCCAAGGCUUUCAUGCGUUUUGUUAACUACAUACACCUUUAGUUAAAGAAUGUUAGGUAUCAUAGUUUAUUACUUAUUAAAGCUUUGUUCUUAAUAUAGAAUAGAAUAGCUACUGUUGUUGACCUUUUAAGAAAAAUACAGUGUGAAACUUUAAGUUUGUAAUCUUGAAGGAAAAUCUGAAGUUGAAAGGAACAUGUUUUAACUAACCUUUUUUUGUAUCUCGGGUGGAGGGAACAAAAGGGCUUUAAAUCAAAUGUUAAUGUCAAAUCUUACACGAAACCUGAUUGUGAUAGGGUAUAAAAACUGAUGCUUUUCAUUUAAUAAAUUGGGUCAUCUGCAGCAUGCA